UCCCAACUGUCAGUGCAGAACCCAAUGCAGGGCUGAAACUUACACACUGAGAUUAUGACCUGAGCUGAAACCAAAACUCAGAUGCUUAACCAACUGAGCCAGCCACCCAGGGGCCCCAAGAAGCUUUGUUUUUAACUCUAGUUUUAUCACAAAUCUAGUAACAUAAACCCUAGUAAUUAAUGAUUAAUAAUUCUGAAUGGUGACUUAAAGGAAAAAAUAAAAGGAAGAGAACCUGAAUUAUUUACGUCCAGGCAAAUACUACUAAAGGAUGUAAUAUUUCAUUAAUUUCACUGGUUAUUAAUCUAUAAAUUAGACAUAUGUAUAUGGAAUGAAAUAGAAGAGUUGCUGAGUCUUCUAUUUUUCAUUAACCUAACUUGGAAUUCAAACUGUUAAAUAAAAGAAACUAUAACUGUACCUUGGUGUAAAUAUUUGUUGAAUAAACAGACAAGUUGACUUCUUGCUGAUUUAUGAAAGCAAUUCCCAGGCAUAGUGCUUAUAGUGAAUAUUAUGGCAGAGCCUGCUAAAUGCCUCCCUAGGAGUCAGGCACCCUCUCUUCUUGCAGAAACCUUAUUUUACUAAGAAUGGCAAUGUGUCUAGCCAAAAAACAUUUCCUACCCUCCCUUGUAGGUAAGAGGAGGCUUCAUUGCUAAGUUCUGGGUCUUCUAGGGAAGGUCUUUAAAAAGGGGCUUACUUGGGGUGCCUGGGUGGCUCAGGUGGUUAAGCAUCCGACAUUGGUUCAGGUCAUGAUCUCACAGUUUGUGAGUUCAAGUCCUGUGUCGGGCUCUGUGCUGACAGUUCAGAACCUGGAGCCUACUUCAGAAUCUGUGACUCCGUCUCUCUCUGCCCCUCCCCCACUCACGCUCUGUCUCUCAAAAAAUAAAUAAAUGUUAAAUAAAUAAAUAAAAAUAAAAAGGGGUUUACUCAGCUGACAAGCAACUAGUAAACUUUUGCUCUUCCUCCUUCCUUCUGCCUGGAACCCAUGUUGUGACUGGAGCUGUGCUGCUUACAUUAUGACCACGAGCUGAGCUUGGGGAUGGACAAUAAAGAUGGUUGAGGAAGAAGAGGCACCACUUAGAAUAUUGGUGACAAAAAGGAACCAUCUUUCUUCAUAAGAAGAAAUCCAUUAUAUAACUGAUACUUUGCAUAACGAUCCUGAAAAAAGUAUUGGCUCCUAUUUUGCAAAAUAAAGGAAUUAAGGCUUGAAGAGGUUAUAAAUUCCCAAGGUCACAGGGCUGCUAUUCAUCAGGGGACACUAAUGACACAAGCAAUGGAGAUACAACUGCGUCAAGAUAUUAAUGCUUUAUUGACUUCCUAAAGGCGUUACAUUGGAUAAUGUCACUUCUCUGCCUAAAACACUUUGCUUCCUUCUGUUUUUGGAAUAAAACACACAAUCUUCAGUAGGGCCUAAUAGGCCCUUCAUGACCUGGCCUACCUCUGCAUCUCAUGUGAUAAUAACUUCUUUCUGUUACUUACUGUGUUAACCCCAUCAUCCUUCUGAAAAUUCAUCCACAAGAGGUAAGCAUUCCUACCUUGAGGCCUUUGUAUUGCUAUCUCUAUGCCUGGCAUAUUCUUUUUAUAUGUCUUUCUAUGGAGAUGCCUUCAUUAUUUUUCUGCAUGUGAUUUAAGUAUCACUUUCUUGGUUAGGCCUGCCCUCACCUUCUUUUAAAUAAUUAUUUUCUGUUAGUCCCUACAUCAACACUUUAUUUCUUUCAAGACAUUAUCGCGUUCUAGAAUCACUUUUUUUUUUUUCUAGAAUGAAUCCCUCCCUGUCCCCCCUCCCUCCUCCAAUGCUUAUCUUCUCAGCUAGAAUAUCAGUUUCACGAAGGCAAGGAAUGUCUCUUGGUCAUUACAGUACUCCCAGACCCUGGCAAGAUAGCCUUUCAUAAAUAAUUGUAGAUUUUUUUUAAGUUUGAGAGAGAGAGAGUGCACGUGUGAACGAAUGCCCACGUGCAUGAGGGGCAGAGAGAGAAUCCCAAGC
This is a long non-coding RNA of Felis catus (domestic cat), 1978 nucleotides long. RefSeq lists it as uncharacterized. The transcript is spliced from 3 exons. The record is from RefSeq and is a predicted model, not a curated record. Lineage: Eukaryota; Metazoa; Chordata; Mammalia; Carnivora; Felidae.